UUUUAUGGAGAGUUUGAUCCUGGCUCAGGAUGAACGCUGGCGGCGUGCCUAAUACAUGCAAGUCGAGCGAACAGACGAGGAGCUUGCUCCUCUGACGUUAGCGGCGGACGGGUGAGUAACACGUGGAUAACCUACCUAUAAGACUGGGAUAACUUCGGGAAACCGGAGCUAAUACCAG
This 178-nucleotide ribosomal RNA is filed under the name Staphylococcus epidermidis. Its description in RNAcentral is "partial 16S ribosomal RNA". It matches the Rfam family "Bacterial small subunit ribosomal RNA", at positions 1 to 172 of the family's 1533-position model. The record is from RNAcentral. Lineage: Bacteria; Bacillati; Bacillota; Bacilli; Caryophanales; Staphylococcaceae.